GUGUCUCUAUCAGAGUUUGAUCCUGGCUCAGGGAUGAACGCUAGCUACAGGCGUAACACAUGCAAGUCGAGGGGUAACAUGGGGAGUAGCUUGCUACUUCUGAUGACGACCGGCGGAUGGGUGAGUAACGCGUAUGCAACUUGCCUCUUAGUGGGGAAUAACCCGGAGAAAUCCGGACUAAUACCGCAUACACUUAGUUAUCCGCAUGGAUGAUUAAGGAAAGAUUUAUUGCUAAGAGAUAGGCAUGCGUUCCAUUAGUUAGUUGGUGAGGUAACGGCUCACCAAGGCAUCGAUGGAUAGGGGAGCUGAGAGGCUUAUCCCCCACAUUAGGACUGAGACACGGCCCAA
This 348-nucleotide ribosomal RNA is filed under the name uncultured bacterium. RNAcentral describes it as "bacterial SSU rRNA". It matches the Rfam family "Bacterial small subunit ribosomal RNA", at positions 1 to 334 of the family's 1533-position model. The record is from RNAcentral.